This 537-nucleotide ribosomal RNA is filed under the name uncultured fungus. RNAcentral's name for it is "eukaryotic LSU rRNA". The stretch from base 188 to 341 matches the Rfam family "5.8S ribosomal RNA". The record is from RNAcentral. Lineage: Eukaryota; Fungi.
AAGUCGUAACAAGGUUUCCGUAGGUGAACCUGCGGAAGGAUCAUUAUCGUGGGGCUUCGGCCCUGUCGAGAUAGAACCCUUGCCUUUUUGAGUACCUUUCCGUUUCCUCGGCGGGCUUGCCCGCCAAUGGGGACCACAAAAAACACUUUGUAAUACCUGUAUUGUCUGAAAAACAAACAAAAAUUAAAACUUUCAACAACGGAUCUCUUGGUUCUGGCAUCGAUGAAGAACGCAGCGAAAUGCGAUAAGUAGUGUGAAUUGCAGAAUUCAGUGAAUCAUCGAGUCUUUGAACGCACAUUGCGCCCGCCAGUACUCUGGCGGGCAUGCCUGUUCGAGCGUCAUUUCAACCCUCAAGCCCUGCUUGGUGUUGGGGCCCUACGGCUGCCGUAGGCCCUGAAAGCUAGUGGCGGGCUCGCUAUAACUCCGAGCGUAGUAGUAAAAUAUCUCGCUAGGGAGGUGUCGCGGGUUCCGGCCGUGAAAGCCCAUCUUUUACACAAGGUUGACCUCNGAUCANGUAGGAAUACCCGCUGAACUUAA